Cricetulus griseus (Chinese hamster) is the source of this 150-nucleotide small nuclear RNA. Its record names the gene U1. It matches the Rfam family "U1 spliceosomal RNA". From Rfam's summary of the family: U1 is a small nuclear RNA (snRNA) component of the spliceosome (involved in pre-mRNA splicing). The record is from Ensembl. Lineage: Eukaryota; Metazoa; Chordata; Mammalia; Rodentia; Cricetidae.
AUACUUCCCUGGUAGAGGAGACAUCAUGAACAGGAAGGUAGUUUUCCCAGGGCGAGGCUCACCCAUCUGCUGAGCCCUGUGAUUUCCCCAAAUGCAAGAAACUCAACUGCAUCAUUUGUGUUAGUGGGAAACUCUGUUCACAUUUUCUCU